RNAcentral lists this ribosomal RNA (649 nucleotides) under Achromobacter xylosoxidans. RNAcentral's name for it is "bacterial SSU rRNA". It matches the Rfam family "Bacterial small subunit ribosomal RNA", at positions 836 to 1489 of the family's 1533-position model. Lineage: Bacteria; Pseudomonadati; Pseudomonadota; Betaproteobacteria; Burkholderiales; Alcaligenaceae. The record is from RNAcentral.
GGCCUUGGUAGCGCAGCUAACGCGUGAAGUUGACCGCCUGGGGAGUACGGUCGCAAGAUUAAAACUCAAAGGAAUUGACGGGGACCCGCACAAGCGGUGGAUGAUGUGGAUUAAUUCGAUGCAACGCGAAAAACCUUACCUACCCUUGACAUGUCUGGAAUGCCGAAGAGAUUUGGCAGUGCUCGCAAGAGAACCGGAACACAGGUGCUGCAUGGCUGUCGUCAGCUCGUGUCGUGAGAUGUUGGGUUAAGUCCCGCAACGAGCGCAACCCUUGUCAUUAGUUGCUACGAAAGGGCACUCUAAUGAGACUGCCGGUGACAAACCGGAGGAAGGUGGGGAUGACGUCAAGUCCUCAUGGCCCUUAUGGGUAGGGCUUCACACGUCAUACAAUGGUCGGGACAGAGGGUCGCCAACCCGCGAGGGGGAGCCAAUCCCAGAAACCCGAUCGUAGUCCGGAUCGCAGUCUGCAACUCGACUGCGUGAAGUCGGAAUCGCUAGUAAUCGCGGAUCAGCAUGUCGCGGUGAAUACGUUCCCGGGUCUUGUACACACCGCCCGUCACACCAUGGGAGUGGGUUUUACCAGAAGUAGUUAGCCUAACCGCAAGGGGGGCGAUUACCACGGUAGGAUUCAUGACUGGGGUGAAGUCGA